This 162-nucleotide ribosomal RNA is filed under the name Bacillus subtilis. RNAcentral describes it as "partial 16S ribosomal RNA". It matches the Rfam family "Bacterial small subunit ribosomal RNA", at positions 374 to 520 of the family's 1533-position model. The record is from RNAcentral. Lineage: Bacteria; Bacillati; Bacillota; Bacilli; Caryophanales; Bacillaceae.
GACAGAAAGUCUGAACGGAGCAACCGCCCGCGUGAGUGAUGAAGUGUUUUCGGAUCGUAAAACUCUGUUGUUAGGGAAGAACAAGUACCGUUCGAAUAGGGCGGUACCUUGACGGUACCUAACCAGAAAGCCACGGCUAACUACGCUCGCCAGCAGCCGCGG